Molecule: ribosomal RNA, 505 nt
Filed under: uncultured bacterium
Lineage: Bacteria
Description: partial 16S ribosomal RNA
Rfam family: Bacterial small subunit ribosomal RNA
Source: RNAcentral
GACGAACGCUGGCGGCGUGCCUAAUACAUGCCAGUCGAACGCACAGUUUAUACCGUAGCUUGCUACACCAUAGACUGUGAGUUGCGAACGGGUGAGUAACGCGUAGGUAACCUGCCUGGUAGCGGGGGAUAACUAUUGGAAACGAUAGCUAAUACCGCAUAAUAUUAAUUAUUGCAUGAUAAUUAAUUGAAAGGUGCAAUUGCACCACUACCAGAUGGACCUGCGUUGUAUUAGCUAGUAGGUGAGGUAACGGCUCACCUAGGCGACGAUACAUAGCCGACCUGAGAGGGUGAUCGGCCACACUGGGACUGAGACACGGCCCAGACUCCUACGGGAGGCAGCAGUAGGGAAUCUUCGGCAAUGGACGAAAGUCUGACCGAGCAACGCCGCGUGAGUGAAGAAGGUUUUCGGAUCGUAAAGCUCUGUUGUAAGAGAAGAACGGGUGUGAGAGUGGAAAGUUCACACUGUGACGGUAUCUUACCAGAAAGGGACGGCUAACUACGUG